AUGUUCUACUAUGGCCUGGAUUUCCACGAUCUGGCCCCGAACAUCAUCCUCAACAUCUCGGCGUUUAUCGUCGUGUGCGAGGCUUUCCUCCGCAUCCGCCCCCAUUUCGGCCUCUGGCUCAAGACCUUCAACGUCAAGCCCAAGGUGGUGCGCGGCAGCCAGGCAGAGUGUGGAGGCGCCAUGGCGGGCAAGAUGGCCAACGUCCUAUGGCUCGAGGGCUCCUUCGUGGAGACCCUGAAGGGGUGGCAAUCAUGGUGGUUUUACAUCACCGAGCCGCGCGAUCCGAAAUGGAUCGCAGCCCCCGAGUUCCGAUCCGGACCCCCCACGCGGCUUAUGUCCUGGAAAGAGACGGGCCUGUCGUGGGGCGACGAAAAAGAGGUGACCGGAUUGCAGACAUGCAUCCAGUCCCUGGUGAGCAAGCCGAUCAAGCUUGUCAAUGUAGUCCAGGUUAUGCUCGUCCGUCGGAUCCUCCCGUGUCAACAAUGGGGCUUUAAUCUGUGGGAGUUCGACCCGGCGCAGCACCAAACCCUUAACCGGCUCUUCGACACGACGUAUGAAGACGUCUAG
Molecule: ribosomal RNA, 567 nt
Filed under: Triticum aestivum (bread wheat)
Lineage: Eukaryota; Viridiplantae; Streptophyta; Magnoliopsida; Poales; Poaceae
Description: partial small subunit ribosomal RNA
Source: RNAcentral